CUACGGGGGGCUGCAGUGGGGAAUAUUGCACAAUGGGCGAAAGCCUGAUGCAGCAACGCCGCGUGGGGGAUGACGGCCUUCGGGUUGUAAACCUCUUUUAGCAGGGAAGAAGCGAAAGUGACGGUACCUGCAGAAAAAGCACCGGCUAACUACGUGCCAGCAGCCGCGGUAAUACGUAGGGUGCAAGCGUUGUCCGGAAUUAUUAGGCGUAAAGAGCUCGUAGGCGGUUGGUCGCGUCUGCUGUGAAAACCCGAGGCUCAACCUCGGGCCUGCAGUGGGUACGGGCCAACUAGAGUGCGGUAGGGGAGAUCGGAAUUCCUGGUGUAGCGGUGGAAUGCGCAGAUAUCAGGAGGAACACCAAUGGCGAAGGCAGAUCUCUGGGCCGUAACUGACGCUGAGGAGCGAAAGCGUGGGGAGCGAACAGGAUUAGAUACCCUGGUAGUC
Molecule: ribosomal RNA, 444 nt
Filed under: uncultured bacterium
Lineage: Bacteria
Description: partial 16S ribosomal RNA
Rfam family: Bacterial small subunit ribosomal RNA
Source: RNAcentral